RNAcentral lists this non-coding RNA (28 nucleotides) under Homo sapiens (human). The record is from RNAcentral. Lineage: Eukaryota; Metazoa; Chordata; Mammalia; Primates; Hominidae.
UGUGAGGGCCAUGAAGAUGCUGGUGAGG